UGGGGAAUAUUGCACAAUGGGCGCAAGCCUGAUGCAGCAACGCCGCGUGAGGGACGACGGCCUUCGGGUUGUAAACCUCUUUUAGUAGGGAAGAAGCGAAAGUGACGGUACCUGCAGAAAAAGCACCGGCUAACUACGUGCCAGCAGCCGCGGUAAUACGUAGGGUGCGAGCGUUGUCCGGAAUUAUUGGGCGUAAAGAGCUCGUAGGCGGUCUGUCGCGUCUGCUGUGAAAACCCGAGGCUCAACCUCGGGCCUGCAGUGGGUACGGGCAGACUAGAGUGCGGUAGGGGAGAAUGGAAUUCCUGGUGUAGCGGUGGAAUGCGCAGAUAUCAGGAGGAACACCGAUGGCGAAGGCAGUUCUCUGGGCCGUAACUGACGCUGAGGAGCGAAAGCGUGGGGAGCGAACAGGAUUAGAUACCCUGGUAGUCCACGCCGUAAAACGUUGGGCGCUAGAUGUGGGGCACCAUUCCACGGUUUCCGUGUCGCAGCUAACGCAUUAAGCGCCCCGCCUGGGGCAGUACGGCCGCAAGGCUAAAA
RNAcentral lists this ribosomal RNA (537 nucleotides) under uncultured bacterium. RNAcentral describes it as "partial 16S ribosomal RNA". It matches the Rfam family "Bacterial small subunit ribosomal RNA", at positions 355 to 899 of the family's 1533-position model. The record is from RNAcentral.